Molecule: long non-coding RNA, 3214 nt
Organism: Pipra filicauda (Wire-tailed manakin)
Lineage: Eukaryota; Metazoa; Chordata; Aves; Passeriformes; Pipridae
Exons: 3
Source: RefSeq, a predicted model, not a curated record
CUAUAACCUGCUCUGAGUAAUGAAUAGGAGAGAAAAAUUUUGUGAAAUCAAGCUAGCUUGGCAUAAAUCUUUUAUUAUAAAGGAAGGAUCAGGGCUUCCUUGAGUGAGCUUUGCUAAUUUUCAGCACUUUUUCUCAAGGAGGAGUGCUUCUAAGUGUCAGAAACCUGUUAUCACCAAACAACUUUAAUAGAGGGUGAGUGACUAAACUUUGUUGGAUGCAGCUUGGAGAUAGUAUUAUCUCCCGUCUUACAUAAACCCUCAAAUAAAAUAAAUAAAAGCCAGUCAGAUGAUGUACUCUGAUCAAUAAAAUAUGCUCUAGCAUGAAAAAAAAUUAAAACCUAAAGUUUUCAGUCUCCUACCCAUUUAACUAUAGAUACUAAUUUUGAUUAAAACAUUUGAUUUGGAGACGCUAUUAACAGAAUAAGAAAUGAAUCAUUAAAAAUUAUUAAAUGUACUCAUAUGGAACAUCAACAAAUCUAUUCCAUAAAUGCCUAGACUCAAAACUAUGAUGAAUUGACUUCAUUGCAAUGCAGAUUUCCAAAGAGAAUGCCUUUUUCUCCUUGUUGACAAUAAAAGUAAGAUAAAUAAGUCAGUCAGAUUCUGGCUUUACCAUCUUAUAACGGUACAGAGUGUGGUCUUAUACAGAAAACACAUUGUUUCUUUUAGUCAUCAAGAAUCCAUUUUAGAGGUAGUUAUAAAAUGUUUACAAAAUUCCUGCAAAAAUUACACUAGGCACUUGUAAAUAAUAAGGUGUUUACUGCAAGUCCUUUGCCUCUUAUGUGUCCAUGAUUCUAUUCAGCAUCCUACUUUGCAGACCUUUCAAACAAGUAAGUAUAUUGUAAGUUAUCUAUUGCAUAAGAAAUGUAUGCCACUCCCUCACAAGCAACACACACACAGAGGCACUUGCUUAUUUUCACUGGGCAAUAAAACCUCUUGGAGCGAAUUUCUGCUUUGGAUUAUUAUGAGAGUUUAUUCUAACUCAACGUUUUCCACUUCCACAGAAAUAUUUAAUAGUGACAUUUCCUGCCUUCUCCUGCUCAUCAGAUUUCUGCUGUCAGUAUACAAGAGGAGCUAUUCUACUUCCUAGUCCCCUCUUACUAAAGAAAUCAACAGAACUUAUAUACCUUAUGAUUUCUACACAUUUCCAUAUAUCAGAAUAAUGUCAAGUCACAUUGAUAAAUCCCUUUUAGUAAUAGGUGAGGGCAUAAUUCUGCAUUAUUCUGUAGUUUCCGAUGUUUAUGAACUUGAAUUACUUUUUUUUUUUUUUUCCUUCUCCCUUGAGGUGUGAGUGGCACAACUGAGGAAAGAGAGAUGGUCCAGACAAGCUGAGGUUUUUCUACUGAGGACUCAGGAGAAACAACAGUUUGGAGCAUUACAAUUAAGAGCUGAGCUUUUGGUUCAGAGGAUUUGUUGCCAAGGAGCCUCAACAGACUGGAAAAAAAUCACUUCCAGUGCAAUGAGAACACCUCAGUGAGCUGGACUUCUUCCUGAAGACCUUGAAAAAAUGCCAGGAGGUACUUCCAAGCAAAAUGUUUGCAUUAAGGAUGCCUGCAGCUGAUUGUUGGAAGAUUUGGAACUAGGAUUGCAACCAUGCUUGUUUUUGUUGUGUUGACAUCUACUUUGAGAUUUAACUUUUUAAGGAAGAAAGAUAGCCCAUUUGAACCAUUUUGGCAAAAUCAAGUCUUCAGGACUUAUCUGCACUCUGCAGUGUGGUAUAGAUUAAUUUUACCUGUGUCAGGAAACCUUUACCACCACUGUUUUACUGGUUUUAUCUUGUUCUAGUUGUGUCUUUGGUUUUUUUACUAGCAUAGCAUAAAUCCUGCAUAUGUUUUCCAGUAAUCUGCCUAUAUGAAUUCUUCUUAUUUUAAUAAAAACUCCAUAUAUCAUCAGCUUAAGCUGCUGAUGCUUCAAGAGUCCUGUAAUAUUUACCUUUCAUGAUAUUCUCCAGUUUUCUAAGUGAACUGUUUUCUCUCUGAGUGAAAACUGAGGCUUUCGCACCCUGGUAACGUAACUGGAUUUACCUUUGCAGUUGAGAGCACCUGAACUGGCUAUAUUUUGUAAGCUUGGACAAUUUCCUACACAUCUUGUAAGGAAUCUUAAUUCUCACUUUGUUUGCUUAGGGGCUUUUUCUCCCUUUUAGUUUAUUGGGUUUUGCUUGUUAAUUUUCAGUUAAAAUCCAUAUUUUUGAUACUUGAAACCUUUUGCAGGAAGGCUAAAAAGUCAAAAUUUUUAAAGCAUUUUAAGUAACCAUUAAUAUUAAAAUAUCUCACAACAUAAAGAAUAAAGAAAUGUAGCAGUUGGUCAGGUCUAGGUAAUAAAACUGACUUCAGGGAUACUUCAGAAAAUUGUGUGUUGAAAAGGUUAUUUCUCUGUAUAUAACUUUGUUUCAGAUAUGUGUACUACUGUGGUUUCCUUUCUUGAUGUUUCUACCAGUGCAUGGUGGCAGGUACUAACAGACAAGAUCUGUAAAAUGAAUAUAUAAAUAACUGUAACACUUGUAACCUUUCAUCAGUCACAAAAUUGUUCCUUGGUAUUACUUUCUGCUUCUCAAGGAUGCUCGGACAGUUUGCUCUUUCUUUCUACAGUUUCAGAAGCUGACCUUUAGACUGUCAAGUUUUGAACUUCACAAGCAGUUUUAAUCUUGUAAAUACUCUUACAGGCAAAAAUAUGACUGACACUUUACAGCCUGAUCUUUCUCCAUUGAUGAAGAACAUAAAUGUGAGGAAUUGUAGAAUUAGAUAAUAAAAAUGAAACCCUCAUGUCUUUUUCAAAUAGUCCCGAUUGCCUGUUGUGAAAAAAAUAAUAACAAUCACCUAUAUUUUUUUUUUAUCUUUUACUCAUAAUAGCAAAGAAAUGUCGAAAAGAAGUGGUGGAUCAUAUGUGAAACGCUAAAACUUGAGAGCACUUUCACAAGAUGCAAAGAGCAGCAUCGACAUGCCACUAGGUGGUUCUCUUUCCUUCUUGAUUCACCCCAUUGGCUUUGUCAGGCACUCUUCAGAAAGGUCCCCUGAGAACGGUGAGCACCCGUGUGCACUGCGGGGUCCUGGCCAUUUCAGCAGGUGCUGAGACAACCCAAUGUCCAGCCUCUGGCAGAACCAACACCGAAGUAUUCACUGUCUUAAAAAGAGGGAGCAAUUUAGAAACCAAUCUUCAGAGCAGGCAGCUGAAGAUUAGUGUACGUGGGGUGGGGUUUUGUGUUAAGAUCCUUGUUAAA